CUGCAACUCACCUGGGGGGUUUCCUGUGCUGUAAGUGCUGUGCUAAACUGUAAUACAUUUCUCCAUCCAAUGUAUUUUUUUGUAAGGUCAGGAUGGUAUACAAGUUCCGUCAUAGGGAAAUAAACAUACUGAUCGGCUCUUCAGCGUACUUAACACGGAAGCUCAGAGAAAUACGACUUUAUAAAAUUUAAUUUGAAAACUGAAAUGCUAUGACUAAGAAUCUCUGCGGUUAAUAAACAGUUCCAGGAUUGGAGCUGAGGGUGAAUGGUCUCAGAGCCGCGCUGCAGUACCGCACUGAAUCCGGAAGGUGGCGCAGUUCAACACAGCCGGCGGUGGGGCGGGCGCAUGCAAAUCUACCGCGGCGCUGAGCCAAUCAGCUUCCACCGGGCGCGGAGCGGGGACAGACGGGAGCACAGCGGUCCGGUCUCCGAGCUCCGUCUGGAGCGCGAACGGAAAAAGAGAGAAGAGACAGCAUGGAGUCUACGGGGAAAGGCCGUCCAGAGCUGUUGGUCCCGAUACUGCUUCCAGCUCUGACUUCUAGGAGAGGACUCGAGAAGCCAAGGUGGCAAUGUGUGAUAAAUGGAAGUUGCAAGAAAAGGCACACAACAUACAGAUAAGCUCACCUACCUUCCUGCUCAGAAUUUCUCAGUACAAGACAUCAUAUUUCAGAAUUCUGCUACUAGCAUGCAGGAAGGAACGCUGUGAGCUCGGCACUGAGCUCCUGUAGUCAGAACAGCUUGAAGGCAUAGCUUGCUUUCCCAGCAUUUUGAGCACUUCUCCCAAAAGUUCUGGUUUUCACAGAAGCACAGAAUUUUGAGAUGCUUUCUAAAAUAUAGAUAAAUAAGAGAUAUAUAAAUAUGUACUUUACACAUACACUGUAAAAAAUAAAGCAUUUUCUUAAGAAAACCAUGCUUCCCUUUUUUUAGUUUUUUUGCAUUCAAACUGUGAGGAUGGAAAACAAGGUCGCUGACAUUCAGUGAUUUCCCUCUGCCUUCAAGUUCCCCAUACAACGUUAGAAAAAAGCCAGGGACCAUUCUGGUACCAUUGCCUUCUUUGGGGAAGGGUUCAGAAGUGUGGGCCAGAUUUUCACACUGAUUACAGGAACUUCAUGGCUACCAUAGGAGAAGAGACUAAAUCCAUAAAUAAGUGAAUGGAGAGCACAGGGUCUGGUGACACAGAUUCCCCUGGGGACAAAGGAAAGAUAAUUACCGUUCUCUCCCAGUCCAGUGAGAACAUGUAAAAGAACCAGCAAAGUGUCACGUCCUCUGCUAUCCCCAUGUGUAGACCGGACCAGAGAAGUGUAGAAAGGAAGAAUAUGCUACAUACAAAUAAUCUUUUUAAGUGCUAGGCUACAGUGCUGCAGCAAGCUGUGACUGGUUUCUCUCACAGCAAAACCAACAGGGGAAUGAAAGUAUCUGAAUAAGAGAUCCCUUCUAAAAACACAGUUUCUCUUGUACCGUUGGAUUGACAUCACUACCAGGAAUUAAAAUAAUCAAUUGGGGGGGGAAAAGGGGGAGGGAAACACUUGAAAUUGUGUCCAGCUGCUCUUAAGAUAUCUGCAUUCCUUGUUUAUUUCUUUGUUUUAUAUCCUUUAGAUCUCUAGCUUAGAAAAACAACAGAAAGUAGUCGUACAAUAAUGCCUUGUAGCCUAUGGCAUAUUCCAUUUCAGGAUCCUAACAAAAGGUCGGUAAGCAUAGAAGAAUAGUUUCAGUCUAAGUUUAGUUCAGUCUGGAAGAGCUUUUCAGUUCCCUAUGGCAAAAUGGAGCAAAUUAAUUUGAAAAAGAAAGAGUAACAAAACAAAGAGUGCUUGAGGGACCUAGAAAGGCAGGCAGCAAGAUCCUUCAGUCAGCCAGUCUGGCAAUUAACUCAUCUACAAAAAAAAGACUUCUGCGGGUUUCCUAGUAACUAACAGACCCUGCAGUGAGGUCUCCAAGUCUGCAGGGUAUGGCAGGUAAGCUCCAGGCAUUUCAUGGGGCAUUUCAACCCACAGUCAUCACAGGCUUUCUCUGGGCCUUCUGUGAUCACUACUGCCUUAGCAGGGAGCAGCAAGGGCUGUGUGCUGGUACAUCAGCUGCUCCAGUUUGUAGCCCAGCAUAUAAUUCCAAAUGUAGCUUUGUCAGCAGUUUGCACUAAGAAACUUCUCUGAGACUGGAGUACAUAUUCCUUCUGGUCGGCUCCUCUAGUACCAUUAUAACCUUUCCAAGUACCAGAACAGUCUUGCCCAGAGGGCUGGAACUUUUGCUUUGUUUCAAGGCUGAAACAGACCACAGACAAUGGAAUAUUUCUUUUUUUCUAAAACAUGCAACUAAAGUUCACUGCUUUCUUUUACUGCUUUCUUCGAGUCAACAGCAACAACAACAAAAAAUAAUAAUAGAAAAAAAAUCAACAGAUCUUACUGGAAGCACGUCCACAGGUUUUGUUUGUUUGUUUGUUUGUUUGUUUUCGUGGCUACUAAGCAUUGAUGCCAGAAAGUUGCUGGAAAUUAAAUGUGUUAAUGUCAUAAUUAAUGCUAAGAACUGCAUUUUGACAGUUUUUAGUCUGAAGAACUCUUUUUCUCUGGUGUUUAAGGAGUCUGCUAAUGAUCUAACUUAUGCUUUAGGAAGGAUGUGCAAGCCACAGAUUGCAAGAGCACUACCCUGCUUAGUCUAGGGUGAGAAUACAGAUUAUUAUUUAGAUGGUAGAGAGGAAGGAUCAUCUCCCCUGACGUGCUAGUGAUGCUCUUCUGUUAGGGUGCUGUUGGACACCUUAGCUUCAAGGGAGCUGUUGCUGUUCUAUGACUAAUUUGUUGUCCACCAGGACCUGAAGUCAUUCUCAGCAGGGCUACCUUCCAUCUGGUUGCUCCCCAGCUUCUCCUGGUGCAUGUGUUCCACCCCAGAUGAAGGACUUUGCAUUUCCCUUUGUUGAACUUUAGGAGAUUCUGAUGGCCCAUUCACACAGCCUGCCCAAGUCUCUCUAGAAACAGACCUACAGUUACAAGCCAGGCCUAAGAAACUGACAGACUUUCUUCUUCUAGAUAGAAUAGGGUUAAGAAAGUUGAUGGAAGUGUGUAUGGGGUAAGUAGAGAAAAACUGGUUGUUCAUGUUCAUGACACUCCUUAUUCUGAACAUUUAAAGCCUUAGUUGUGCUGUUCUAAGCAUUGCUUUUUGAUUAUGUAAUGCUUAGGGGGUUGUUUCUGUUUUUGGACUGAGUAGACAAAAACUUUACACUGUUUGAAAAGCCAGAAAGGGCCAUAAGAGCAAUGCUCAUAUAAAAAUGCAGUCUGUGAUUUUUUUUUUCCUAGAAAAUUGUAAAUAACUGUAGCAGUAUCUGUUCUGCCUUUGCACAGCUAUGCAUAAAAAGCUCACUGGGACCACUCACAUCAUUUUCAGUCAUUACCAUGCCCAGUGGCAGAGAGUAACUGAAACGUGCAUGCUUUGUAACAUCUUCAAACUUAGGCAUCUGUAAACUGAAAUUCCCUUUCAGAAAGCUGGUACAUGAUGAAAACGUGGUUGUUGGAAUGUCUCUGACAGCUUUAAAGUAAUCUAAAGGCUCAUAUAACAGAUUAAAAAGAUUCCUUUUGUGUUUGAACAAAUACAGAUAAUGUUGAGAAGCAUUUUCCUGACUGCUCUAGAAUGCAAUAAGCAAGAGAGCAACAGGUAAUAGUGCUGAAGGACAGUGAAGAGAGGAAGAUCAGCUACCAAGCAAGCCAUAAGAUGUGAGUGUCAGAUUACAGAAUCACAGAAUGGCCUGUGUUGGAAGGGACCUCAAGGAUCAUGAA
Phasianus colchicus (ring-necked pheasant) is the source of this 3757-nucleotide non-coding RNA. Lineage: Eukaryota; Metazoa; Chordata; Aves; Galliformes; Phasianidae. The record is from RefSeq and is a predicted model, not a curated record.